CAGGAAACUCUAUUGGCUGUGAUGUUCUGUACCUAGGGGGAACACCCAGCAACCUCAUGUUCAUCCUUGUAAAAUGAUUGUGUGGUAUCCAAUGCAAAGUUUGUCAUGUUGAGUGUCUUUGGAAGGCUC
Molecule: non-coding RNA, 129 nt
Organism: Chelonoidis abingdonii (Abingdon island giant tortoise)
Lineage: Eukaryota; Metazoa; Chordata; Testudines; Testudinidae
Source: RefSeq, a predicted model, not a curated record